This 229-nucleotide ribosomal RNA is filed under the name uncultured bacterium. Its description in RNAcentral is "partial 16S ribosomal RNA". It matches the Rfam family "Bacterial small subunit ribosomal RNA", at positions 109 to 334 of the family's 1533-position model. The record is from RNAcentral.
AGUAACACGUAUGCAAUCCACCUGUAACAGGGGGAUAACCCGGAGAAAUCCGGACUAAUACCCCAUAAUAUGGGCGCUCCGCAUGGAGAGUCCAUUAAAGAGAGCAAUCUUGGUUACAGACGAGCAUGCGCUCCAUUAGCCAGUUGGCGGGGUAACGGCCCACCAAGGCGACGAUCGGUAGCCGGACUGAGAGGUUGAACGGCCACAUUGGGACUGAGGCACGGCCCAG